CUACCGCCCCCAACACCCACCACCACCAAUGUGACUCCGGGCGUGGUCACUGGUCCAGAUUACUUGGAGCUACCGCCCCCACCACCACCAAUGUGACUCCGGGGCGUGGUUACUGGUCCAGAUUACUUGGAGCUACCGCCCCCAACACCCACCACCACCAAUGUGACUCCGGGGCGUUGUUACUGGUCCAGAAAUUGUAUACUAGCAGCUACCAUCCCCACCUCCAGUGCUGUGAUUGUGGUAAUAAAAGGCCAUCGUACAAGCUACCUAAAGUGGUGGAUUCUAAAAACGACGAUUGCAACCACCAAACCUCCAGAUGAAACGCUUCUUGAGGAUCGAGGAAUCUUUUCACAGAUAACUUUGCUACGAAUUGGGAGUUUUCCAAUAAUUACGCCUGCAUGAUGUCAGAUAACGUCGACCCAAGACUAAAUGUCCAAGAUGUGAAACACUAUGCACAGCGUUAGCAAGGAGCCAUGAGGCCACUUUCAUCGAUGAUCGGACAUCCUAGGAGUCUUGGUUUUGAAGGACACGGCUUGUUCUGCAAACAAAUAUAAAGAAUGUGGAAUGGUAAUGGAGAGCAAUAUACAGUAUCGAAUGUAGUGGGAAUACAGUCUAAUUAUGUAUCAGUCUUUUGAAUGCUGAGAAUAUUUGGGGUUCAUAGGUCAGAAUAGUGUGCCUUAUGCAGUGAAACCAUUUUACUUCAAUAGCUGAAGAGAAAACUGAGGUUCAAGAUGAUUCUUCAUUCCAUACAAGAUCAACUGAAUAAGAUAUGUGCUUCUGUAUGAAAAGUCUACCUCUACAGUUGCUAUAAUUAUUAUAUUGAUGAUUAAAAUUGAAUAUAGAGUUGCUUUAUCUACAUUCUGAAUGCAGAUAGUUUUUUGCUCACAAAAAAAUUCCCACCACUUGUGGUCGUCUGUGUUUUGUUUCAAUCUGAGAUGGUUAUUUUUCAAAUUUGUGCUUUUGAUGAUGUGGAGUUGUUUGUCAGUAUGGCAUUUGAGGAGGUCUUAACCUGCACACUAACCUUACUAAAAAACCCUCACAUCUUUGUAAAAUCUGACUUCAUGUAAACGCUUUUACAUGAAGAGAUUUUACAUUGAUAGAUUGUGCAAAAUCUGUAAUGAAAUAUUUUACGUGUGAGAAAAUAUUUCAUUAUAAUUUUGCACAGUCUGCUCUUCUUGAGAGAUGCUGUCAUCUCUCAAGAUAGAGAUCACAUUACUAACAUUCAGAUUUUCUCAAGUGUUAUACUUGACAAAUAUAUCCACUUCAUCAGAUAUGCACCUUUUCUCCGGAUAAAAAAAAAAAUCA
Molecule: long non-coding RNA, 1305 nt
Organism: Lingula anatina
Lineage: Eukaryota; Metazoa; Brachiopoda; Lingulata; Lingulida; Lingulidae
Source: RefSeq, a predicted model, not a curated record